RNAcentral lists this ribosomal RNA (440 nucleotides) under uncultured bacterium. RNAcentral's name for it is "partial 16S ribosomal RNA". It matches the Rfam family "Bacterial small subunit ribosomal RNA", at positions 338 to 795 of the family's 1533-position model. The record is from RNAcentral.
CCUACGGGGGGCUGCAGUGGGGAAUAUUGCACAAUGGGGGAAACCCUGAUGCAGCGACGCCGCGUGAGUGAAGAAGUAUUUCGGUACGUAAAGCUCUAUCAGCAGGGAAGAAAAUGACGGUACCUGACUAAGAAGCCCCGGCUCACUACGUGCCAGCAGCGGCGGUAAUACGGAGGGGGCAAGCGUUAUCCGGAUUUACUGGGUGUAAAGGGAGCGUAGGCGGCAGCGCAAGUCUGGAGUGAGAUACCAUGGCUUAACCAUGGAACUGCUUUGGAAACUGUGCAGCUAGAGUGCAGGAGAGGGAAGCGGAAUGCGUGGUGUAGCGGUGAAAUGCGUAGAUAUUAGGAAGAACACCAGUGGCGAAGGCCGCAUACUGGACUGUAACUGACGUUGAGGCUCGAAAGCGUGGGGAGCGAACAGGAUUAGAUACCCUAGUAGUC